ACCGGCCCGAGGAGGUGACCAUGUCCUAUCAGCUAGUUGGCGGUGUAACGGACCACCAAGGCAAAGACGGGUAUGGGGCGUGAGAGCGUGCCCCCACUCACUGGGACUGAGAACUGCCCAGACACCUACGGGUGGCUGCAGUCGAGAAUCUUCGGCAAUGGGCGCAAGCCUGACCGAGCGACACCGCGUGCGGGAUGAAGGCCUUCGGGUUGUAAACCGCUGUCGUAGGGGAGGAAGGUCUGGUGUAUAGCCAGGCUUGACCGAUCCUAGGAGGAAGGGCCGGCUAAUCUCGUGCCAGCAGCCGCGGUAAUACGAGAGGCCCAAACGUUAUUCGGAUUUACUGGGCUUAAAGAGUUCGUAGGCGGCGCGGAAAGUAGGGUGUGAAAGCCCUCGGCUCAACCGAGGAAUUGCGCUCUAAACUGUCGUGCUUGAGGAACCUAGAGGUGAGCAGAACUGAUGGUGGAGCGGUGAAAUGCGUUGAUAUCAUCAGGAAUACCGGAGGCGAAGGCGGCUCACUGGGGGUUAUCUGACGCUGAGGAACGAAAGCCAGGGGAGCAAACGGGAUUAGAU
Molecule: ribosomal RNA, 570 nt
Filed under: uncultured bacterium
Lineage: Bacteria
Description: bacterial SSU rRNA
Rfam family: Bacterial small subunit ribosomal RNA
Source: RNAcentral